RNAcentral lists this ribosomal RNA (497 nucleotides) under uncultured bacterium. RNAcentral describes it as "partial 16S ribosomal RNA". It matches the Rfam family "Bacterial small subunit ribosomal RNA", at positions 28 to 507 of the family's 1533-position model. The record is from RNAcentral.
GAUGAACGCUGGCGGCGUGCCUAAUACAUGCAAGUCGAGCGAACAGACGAGGAGCUUGCUCCUUUGACGUUAGCGGCGGACGGGUGAGUAACACGUGGGUAACCUACCUAUAAGACUGGGAUAACUUCGGGAAACCGGAGCUAAUACCGGAUAAUAUUUCGAACCGCAUGGUUCGAUAGUGAAAGAUGGCUUUGCUAUCACUUAUAGAUGGACCUGCGCCGUAUUAGCUAGUUGGUAGGGUAACGGCUUACCAAGGCAACGAUACGUAGCCGACCUGAGAGGGUGAUCGGCCACACUGGAACUGAGACACGGUCCAGACUCCUACGGGAGGCAGCAGUAGGGAAUCUUCCGCAAUGGGCGAAAGCCUGACGGAGCAACGCCGCGUGAGUGAUGAAGGUCUUCGGAUCGUAAAACUCUGUUAUUAGGGAAGAACAAACGUGUAAGUAACUGUGCACGUCUUGACGGUACCUAAUCAGAAAGCCACGGCUAACUACGUG